Molecule: small RNA, 16 nt
Filed under: Arabidopsis thaliana (thale cress)
Lineage: Eukaryota; Viridiplantae; Streptophyta; Magnoliopsida; Brassicales; Brassicaceae
Description: ATSL117780
Source: RNAcentral
AACGACGUCGUUUUAG